Molecule: ribosomal RNA, 400 nt
Filed under: uncultured Glomeromycotina
Lineage: Eukaryota; Fungi; Glomeromycota
Description: eukaryotic LSU rRNA
Source: RNAcentral
GAAAAGAACUUUGAAAAGAGAGUAAAAUAGUACGUGAAAUUGUUGAAAGGGAAACGAUUGAAGUCAGUCGUAUCGACGAGAAAUCAGCUCUUCGAGUGCGAACUUGUGGGCGUGCGUGAGCUUCGGUCUCGCUGUUUGCAACGUUUGUGCUUUUUGGGUGUACUUUUUCGUAUGAUAGGCCAACAUCAGUUUCGAACACCAUAAAAUGACCGGCGGAAUGUAGCUUCGAUCUCGAUUGAAGUGUUAUAGCCUCUGGUAGAUGUGGUGAUCGGGACUGAGGAUUGCAACGAAUACCCUUCGGGCUAUCCGUCUGACCUCUGAAGGUUGCUUAGGUGCCGAAAGCUUGCUUACGGUUAUUUAAGUUGACAGUCAAAAGGCUAGAACGUGAUUAUAUUCGUUA